This is an RNA transcript of Pan troglodytes (chimpanzee), 1930 nucleotides long. It is a transcript of the gene named testis expressed 55, with no coding region annotated. The record is from RefSeq and is a predicted model, not a curated record. The transcript is spliced from 4 exons. Lineage: Eukaryota; Metazoa; Chordata; Mammalia; Primates; Hominidae.
AUCAUGGGGCGUUCCUGGAGGGUCGCCUAGACGACCCAGCCCAACCCCACCCACAGUGCCUGGCAACCUAGACCAGUCAGGGACGCGGCAGGAAAUGGAAGAGCCUCCGCAAGAGGCUCUGGCUGAACCCUUGAAACAUGAAAGCCCAGGCGCUCCCUCAAGUGCUGGCCACACUAAGGGCCAGGAAGAAGACGACCAGAAGAACCAGGCCGAAAGGAAGGCAGAUAACCACACUGCUCACAGAAUAGCUGACCAGACUGCCCUAAGAGUGCCUAGCCAGGCUGAAUCCAGCAUAUUUAGCCAAGCUACCAACGGAGUAGCUGAACAAAAUGGGCAUAGUACACCUGGUCAGGCUGGCCGCAGAGCAUCCAACCCUGCUGAUGUUUCUGACCUUAGAGCAGAUGAUCAGGUUAACCAAACACCGUCUGAACAGACUAAAGGCAAGGCAUCUAGCCAAGCUAAUAAUGUACAGCAUGAACAGAGUGAUGGUCAGGUGUCUGGCCUGACGGAGGAAAGAACUGCUGAACAGACUGAACGAAGAUUACCUAGCCAGGCUGAGAGAAGAACUUCUGGGCAGAUUGAUGGUAGACUGGCUAUGCCAUCUGACCAGAGAGGUUCCAGACAGACCGACCACAGAAUGGCAGGCCAGUCUGAGAGAAGAGCUUCUGAGCAGACGGAUCGCAGAAUGUCUGGCGAGGCUGAGCGAAGAAAUUCUGAGCAGAUUACACACAGAUUAUCCAAACUAUCUGAGAGAAGACCUUCUGUGCAGAUUGACAGUGGGUCAUCCGUCCCAUCUGACCGAAGUCCUUCUGUACAGAUUGACAGUGGAUCGUCCGUACCAUCUGACCAAAGACCUUCCAUACAGAUUGACCGCAGAAUGUCAGGGAAAGUUAGGAGAAGAAGUUCUGAGAAGACUGACUACAGAUUGGCUGGCCUGGCUGACCCAGGAACUUCUGAGCAGACUGACCUCAGAUUGUAUGGCCUCGUUGACCACAAAACAUCUGUAAAGACUCACCACCAAGUGUACGGCCAAGCCACUGAACUAGCUGAACACCAGGCUAUUGACCAAGCUCAUAGUAAUGCUGAUCAACCUCCAGUUGACAAUGCUCACUACACUGAAUCUGACCAGACUGACCACUUAGCAGACAGACAAGCUAAUCAUAAAGACCAGCUGUCUUACUAUGAAACACGUGGCCAGUCUGAAGACAGAACAUUUCCCCAGUUAGGCAACAGCAAAGAGGACAAAGAGGCUGACUACAGAGUACAACCCUGCAAAUUUGAGGAUAGCCAAGUAGACCUCAAUUCCAAGCCUUCAGUUGAAAUGGAAACUCAAAAUGCAACCACUAUCCCAGCCUACAACCCAGUUGAUGCCAGAUUCACCAGUAACUUCCAAGCAAAAGACCAAGCCCUUUUCCCAAGACUCCCCUCCAUCUCAUCCAAAUUGAACUAUACCAGCAGUCAAGAAAAAACUCAAGCCAUAGUAACCAAAUCUGAUGAAUUUUCAGAAAUUGAGCAAGGAAAGGGUUAUCAUAUACGCAAUCAAACUUAUAGAAGGUUCCCUUCUAUAGUUUAUGAAGAUCCUUACCAAGUUUCACUCCAAUACAUGGAAAAACACCACAUUCUGCAAAUAUUCCAGAUUACUGAAAACUUAGUCUAUGAAAAGCCAGAGGACCCCCUGAAUUUUAUGCUGUGCCAGGUAUAGAAUUGGAGAAAAAGAACAACCUUUUUAUUCUCUUUAUUGUAAAAUACAGCACACAUACAGCAAAGUGUAUAGAACAAAGUGCAGGAAAUGAUGAAAAAGAGAGACAAAAUGUGAAAUCUACAAAGAACGAGCCUCUCUUCAGUAUUGUUUACAAUCAUGUGUCAAUACUAUGUUCUGUUUUCCAUCUGAAAAAAAAAUGGUUUUGAAUAGACAUUAGUGGUGACUCUA